Molecule: non-coding RNA, 579 nt
Organism: Myodes glareolus (Bank vole)
Lineage: Eukaryota; Metazoa; Chordata; Mammalia; Rodentia; Cricetidae
Source: RefSeq, a predicted model, not a curated record
ACUGGAGAAGCACAGGGACCACCCGUGACUGGAAGAGUGCUGGUGAGAGCAAGCAUGGAGUCUCUCCUGGUGCAUUCUCUACCAGACAUCAGAAGUUUCAGGGGAUCCAGUACCCUCUUGUACCUUCCAUGGGGACCAGGCAUAUAUGUAAUACACAUACAUGCUAUGAAAUUUGUCUCAGAGUUUCAAUUUUUUAAACUUUAAAGAUUCAUGUCAAACCCAUGUGGACCUGUGCAUUCCGAACCCGUCAUCAGUGUCUGCCCAAUGCUCUGCACCAGUGUCUUGAAGGGAAUGAAACCGGCUCAGCUGCCUCAGUGAUGGGUGCUGACCUCUUCAGCCUGUGGCCUCUGACAUCUUUACUCCUCAUACCACAGUGGAGGUGUCAAGUGUGGGUUGGAGUGCUAUUUGGUUUUUUUUCUUCCCUUUAUAUUAAUACACAUUUCUUAGAGAACUUGUAUUACACAUAGUGGUGACAAUUUACUACAAUAAAUUAUCUUUGUAGAGAUUUUAUAUCAUGAAAAAUAGAGGAUUUCUAAAAAUCAUCUGCAAACACAAGAAAAUACAUGUUUAUAAUAAUAA